CUGAGUGAGGGCGCAAGCCCGACCUCCAACCCUUUGUGAACCAACUCUGUUGCUUCGGGGGCGACCCCGCCGUUUCGGCGACGGCGCCCCCGGAGGUAUUCAAACACUGCAUCUUUGCGUCGGAGUCUUAAAGUAAAUUUAAACA
RNAcentral lists this unclassified non-coding RNA (145 nucleotides) under uncultured Ascomycota. RNAcentral's name for it is "sequence contains ITS1". Lineage: Eukaryota; Fungi; Ascomycota. The record is from RNAcentral.